GACGAACGCUGGCGGCGUGCCUAAUACAUGCAAGUCGAACGAACUCUGGUAUUGAUUGGUGCUUGCAUCAUGAUUUACAUUUGAGUGAGUGGCGAACUGGUGAGUAACACGUGGGAAACCUGCCCAGAAGCGGGGGAUAACACCUGGAAACAGAUGCUAAUACCGCAUAACAACUUGGACCGCAUGGUCCGAGCUUGAAAGAUGGCUUCGGCUAUCACUUUUGGAUGGUCCCGCGGCGUAUUAGCUAGAUGGUGGGGUAACGGCUCACCAUGGCAAUGAUACGUAGCCGACCUGAGAGGGUAAUCGGCCACAUUGGGACUGAGACACGGCCCAAACUCCUACGGGAGGCAGCAGUAGGGAAUCUUCCACAAUGGACGAAAGUCUGAUGGAGCAACGCCGCGUGAGUGAAGAAGGGUUUCGGCUCGUAAAACUCUGUUGUUAAAGAAGAACAUAUCUGAGAGUAACUGUUCAGGUAUUGACGGUAUUUAACCAGAAAGCCACGGCUAACUACGUGCCAGCAGCCGCGGUAAUACGUAGGUGGCAAGCGUUGUCCGGAUUUAUUGGGCGUAAAGCGAGCGCAGGCGGUUUUUUAAGUCUGAUGUGAAAGCCUUCGGCUCAACCGAAGAAGUGCAUCGGAAACUGGGAAACUUGAGUGCAGAAGAGGACAGUGGAACUCCAUGUGUAGCGGUGAAAUGCGUAGAUAUAUGGAAGAACACCAGUGGCGAAGGCGGCUGUCUGGUCUGUAACUGACGCUGAGGCUCGAAAGUAUGGGUAGCAAACAGGAUUAGAUACCCUGGUAGUCCAUACCGUAAACGAUGAAUGCUAAGUGUUGGAGGGUUUCCGCCCUUCAGUGCUGCAGCUAACGCAUUAAGCAUUCCGCCUGGGGAGUACGGCCGCAAGGCUGAAACUCAAAGGAAUUGACGGGGGCCCGCACAAGCGGUGGAGCAUGUGGUUUAAUUCGAAGCUACGCGAAGAACCUUACCAGGUCUUGACAUACUAUGCAAAUCUAAGAGAUUAGACGUUCCCUUCGGGGACAUGGAUACAGGUGGUGCAUGGUUGUCGUCAGCUCGUGUCGUGAGAUGUUGGGUUAAGUCCCGCAACGAGCGCAACCCUUAUUAUCAGUUGCCAGCAUUAAGUUGGGCACUCUGGUGAGACUGCCGGUGACAAACCGGAGGAAGGUGGGGAUGACGUCAAAUCAUCAUGCCCCUUAUGACCUGGGCUACACACGUGCUACAAUGGAUGGUACAACGAGUUGCGAACUCGCGAGAGUAAGCUAAUCUCUUAAAGCCAUUCUCAGUUCGGAUUGUAGGCUGCAACUCGCCUACAUGAAGUCGGAAUCGCUAGUAAUCGCGGAUCAGCAUGCCGCGGUGAAUACGUUCCCGGGCCUUGUACACACCGCCCGUCACACCAUGAGAGUUUGUAACACCCAAAGUCGGUGGGGUAACCUUUUAGGAACCAGCCG
Molecule: ribosomal RNA, 1462 nt
Filed under: Lactiplantibacillus plantarum
Lineage: Bacteria; Bacillati; Bacillota; Bacilli; Lactobacillales; Lactobacillaceae
Description: bacterial SSU rRNA
Rfam family: Bacterial small subunit ribosomal RNA
Source: RNAcentral